This 835-nucleotide ribosomal RNA is filed under the name cf. Stagonospora sp. CPC 22155. RNAcentral's name for it is "eukaryotic LSU rRNA". It matches the Rfam family "Eukaryotic large subunit ribosomal RNA", at positions 71 to 925 of the family's 3401-position model. Lineage: Eukaryota; Fungi; Ascomycota; Dothideomycetes; Pleosporales; Massarinaceae. The record is from RNAcentral.
GGGAUUGCCCUAGUAACGGCGAGUGAAGCGGCAACAGCUCAAAUUUGAAAUCUGGCUCUUUCAGGGUCCGAGUUGUAAUUUGCAGAGGGCGCUUUGGCGUUGGCAGCGGUCCAAGUUCUUUGGAACAGGACGUCACAGAGGGUGAGAAUCCCGUACGUGGUCGCUAGCCUUCGCCGUGUAAAGCCCCUUCGACGAGUCGAGUUGUUUGGGAAUGCAGCUCUAAAUGGGAGGUAAAUUUCUUCUAAAGCUAAAUACUGGCCAGAGACCGAUAGCGCACAAGUAGAGUGAUCGAAAGAUGAAAAGCACUUUGGAAAGAGAGUCAAAUAGCACGUGAAAUUGUUGAAAGGGAAGCGCUUGCAGCCAGACUUGCCUGUAGUUGCUUAUCUGGACUUUUGUCCGGUGCACUCUUCUAUAGGCAGGCCAGCAUCAGUUUGGGCGGUUGGAUAAAGGUCUCUGUCAUGUACCUCCUUUCGGGGAGGCCUUAUAGGGGAGACGACAUGCAACCAGCCUGGACUGAGGUCCGCGCAUCUGCUAGGAUGCUGGCGUAAUGGCUGUAAGCGGCCCGUCUUGAAACACGGACCAAGGAGUCUAACAUCUAUGCGAGUGUUUGGGUGUCAAGCCCAGACGCGUAAUGAAAGUGAACGGAGGUGGGAACCCUUUGGGUGCACCAUCGACCGAUCCUGAUGUCUUCGGAUGGAUUUGAGUAAGAGCAUGGCUGUUGGGACCCGAAAGAUGGUGAACUAUGCUUGAAUAGGGUGAAGCCAGAGGAAACUCUGGUGGAGGCUCGCAGCGGUUCUGACGUGCAAAUCGAUCGUCAAAUUUGGGCAUAGGGGCG